Molecule: ribosomal RNA, 478 nt
Filed under: uncultured bacterium
Lineage: Bacteria
Description: partial 16S ribosomal RNA
Rfam family: Bacterial small subunit ribosomal RNA
Source: RNAcentral
GACGAACGCUGGCGGCGUGCUUAACACAUGCAAGUCGAACGGUAAGGCCCUUCGGGGUACACGAGUGGCGAACGGGUGAGUAACACGUGGGUGAUCUGCCCUGCACUUCGGGAUAAGCCUGGGAAACUGGGUCUAAUACCGGAUAGGACUCCUGGCUUCAUGGUUGGGGGUGGAAAGCUUUUGCGGUGUGGGAUGGGCCCGCGGCCUAUCAGCUUGUUGGUGGGGUAAUGGCCUACCCAGGCGACGACGGGUAGCCGGCCUGAGAGGGUGACCGGUCACACUGGGACUGAGAUGCGGCCGAGACUCCUGCGGGAGGCAGCAGUGGGGAAUAUUGCACAAUGGGCGCCAGCCUGAAGAAGCGACGCCGCGUGAGGGAUGGCGGCCUUCGGGUUGUAAACCUCUUUCAGCUAUGGCGAAGCGCAAGUGACGGUAGUAGCAGUAGAAGGACCGGCCAACUACGUGCCAGCCGCCGCCGUAA